CGCGUAGGCGGGUGCUCAAGUCCGGGGUGAAAUCCUCCAGCUCAACUGGAGAACUGCCUCGGAUACUGGGUGUCUCGAGGGUGGUAGGGGUAUGCGGAACUAUCGGUGGAGCGGUGAAAUGCGUUGAUAUCGAUAGGAACUCCGGUGGCGAAGGCGGCAUACUGGACCACCUCUGACGCUGAGGCGCGAAAGCCAGGGGAGGCAAACG
Molecule: ribosomal RNA, 208 nt
Filed under: uncultured bacterium
Lineage: Bacteria
Description: partial 16S ribosomal RNA
Rfam family: Bacterial small subunit ribosomal RNA
Source: RNAcentral